UGAGGAACAUGACCUUCGGCGGGGGAUAGCCGGCCCAACGGCCGGGUAAUACCGCGUACGACCUUUUGGGGACAUCCCCGAUUGGUGAAAGCAGCAAUGCGCCGAUGGAGUGCCUCGCGGCCUAUCAGCUAGUUGGUGAGGUAACGGCUCACCAAGGCGACGACGGGUAGCUGGUCUGAGAGGAUGGCCAGCCACAUUGGGACUGAGACACGGCCCAGACUCCGUACGGGGAGGNAG
Molecule: ribosomal RNA, 237 nt
Filed under: uncultured bacterium
Lineage: Bacteria
Description: partial 16S ribosomal RNA
Rfam family: Bacterial small subunit ribosomal RNA
Source: RNAcentral